AGUAUGUGGUUUAAUUCGACGCAACGCGCAGAACCUUUACCUAGACUUGACAUCCCGGGGAUUUUCUGGAAACAGAGAAGUGCUUUAGCAAUAAAGAACCCGGUGACAGGUGCUGCAUGGCUGUCGUCAGCUCGUGUCGUGAGAUGUUGGGUUAAGUCCCGCAACGAGCGCAACCCUCGCCUUUAGUUGCCAGCAUUCAGUUGGGCACUCUAGAGGGACUGCCGGUGUCAAACCGGAGGAAGGUGGGAUGACGUCAAGUCCUCAUGGCCUUUAUGUCUAGGGCUACACACGUACUACAAUGGCCGGUACAAAGGGCAGCCACUCAGCGAUGAGGCGCUAAUCCCAUAAAGCCGGUCUCAGUCCGGAUCGCAGUCUGCAACUCGACUGCGUGAAGUUGGAAUCGCUAGUAAUCGUAGAUCAGCAUGCUACGGUGAAUACGUUCCCGGGCCUU
RNAcentral lists this ribosomal RNA (451 nucleotides) under uncultured Desulfovibrio sp. Its description in RNAcentral is "bacterial SSU rRNA". It matches the Rfam family "Bacterial small subunit ribosomal RNA", at positions 936 to 1382 of the family's 1533-position model. The record is from RNAcentral. Lineage: Bacteria; Pseudomonadati; Thermodesulfobacteriota; Desulfovibrionia; Desulfovibrionales; Desulfovibrionaceae.